This 1746-nucleotide long non-coding RNA is filed under the name Dermacentor andersoni. RNAcentral's name for it is "uncharacterized LOC126525107". The record is from RNAcentral. Lineage: Eukaryota; Metazoa; Arthropoda; Arachnida; Ixodida; Ixodidae.
GUGCUUUUCUCAGCACCCAGUCAACUGCCAAAAGUGACUCAAACACAGGCCACCAGUGGAACUCGGCUGUACCACUGCAGUGCUGCGGAAAUUGCCUUCACCAGCGGCUUUGCAACAGCUGUUUUGCAGCAUGUCGGAGACAAUGCCUACGAAAUUAUUGGCCCUGAUCACGAGAGCCCUCAAGGGGCAAACAACAUCUCUGUUGCAGAAGUGAGCCCGAUACCACUUGGAAGUUACCAUGACAGAUGACAUGGCAGCGAUAGAUACAGAGACUGCCAUGUCUACUGCAGCUGCAACAGUGUACGAGGCAAGCAGCAGCGCGUCAGCAUCAGCAGCAGUGUCAGAAGGAACCACACCAGGCCUGGUAGAGCAACGUGUGUGCUAUCACUGACUUUUUUUGUAGUGGAUACAACUCAUUUGCUCAACAUACAAAAGCUUUUCACCACGACUGUGAGCCAGUUAUUGUGCAGCAAGUGCAAGACUAAGUUAGGUGUUAUAUAACACAGUACAAGCAUCACUUUAAUAUAUGCAAAUGCAAACAUAUUACAGUUGUUGCCUCCCCAGCCAGCCCACAUAGUGACAACAAUGUGGAACACAUGGUGGGACGCACCUCUCCCCCAUUACAAGAUAGUAGAGACUGUCAGUGUUGUUGCUAGAUUGACUGGUCUUUGUAGGCAACUAGAAGGACAACACAGGUGUCAUAAGAUUGUUGUUGAUGUUGUUGUUGAAGAGGUAAAAAAGAAGCUUGAUGCAGCUGAAGUGCCAACUGAUAUUGAGCAAAUCAAAAGCAACCACCUGAGAAAGCAACACUAUCGAAAUUUGGGUAUCUAUGUGCCGCCAACUCUGGUAUGAAUGGCAUAGGACAGAAGUGUGAUGAAAAUCACACUGACACUGCUGUUGCAUCACUGGCCACAGUGAGCAGCGACUUGUAGGGCAAGAGAGUCAACUGAAACUAACAUGAUAUAGUGUCAUGCUCCCAUGUGACCACUUUUCAAGUUAUUUUGUAAGAUACAGCUCAACCUCCAGAAACGAGACUGCAACUUGUCUGUAAAAAAGCUUUCACAAAAACUUAUUCAUAACACUAUUAACAUAGCAGUAUCUUUUUUUUUGUGUCGGUUCGAGGUUCCCGGCUGUCCAUUAAUGCAAAAAUUGAGGAAAAAAAGAACAUGUGUCGUACUUACACCUUUUUAACAAGUACGAGGGGGACAGAACUUUUCUAGUCAUGCAUCUUCAUCAUACUAUCAAGUUUUUAAAUGCCUUUUAUAAUUAUUAUUACCAGUUAUAUCUGAGUGCAUUGUAUGCAUGUAGCAGGUGUAAAAUCAGGUCAGUUGGAUCAGAUGCCUUAUCUGCAAGCGAGCCCUAUAUUCAAGAAAUUUGAAUUAAAAUAGUUACGUUAGAGAUGCAGUCUCUCAGCACUUUAUUGCCUGUGGUUUAAGCAUUGCUCAAUACUUUUGUGGGUGGCAAUUUCAACCGGCACAGCACUGCGCUUUGCCACAGUCACAUUUGUCUUCAAAGCGGUGUUUACCAUUUGUGUUGAUCUGUUUGUGUAUGCAUAGAGCAAGUUUUUAAUUUAUAUUUUUCUGCAUUCUUGUGCUUGCACUAAGCUUGUAUAAGGCAGUUACAAAAUGUGCGUCACUAUAACGAACUGUUCUGUUGAGCUUACACUUGCAAAUAAUCGUGUUCAGAUGGCCGCACUUCUAUGCGGGUGCACCGCUAGCUUUGUGUAUGUUUUUAUGUUUGUAUAAA